GUUUUGAUUUGCAUUUCUCUGAUGGCCAGUGAUGGUGAGCAUUUUUUCGUGUGUUUUUUGGCUGCAUAAAUGUCUUCUUUUGAGAAGUGUCUGUUCAUGUCCUUUGCCCACUUUUUGAUGGGGUUGUUUGUUUUGUUCUUGUAAAUUUGUUUGAGUUCAUCGUAGAUUCUGGAUAUUAGCCCUUUGUCAGAUGAGUAGAUUGCAAAAAUUUUCUCCCAUUUUGUAGCUUGCCUGUUCACUCUGAU
This 245-nucleotide long non-coding RNA is filed under the name Homo sapiens (human). RNAcentral describes it as "HSALNT0408103". Lineage: Eukaryota; Metazoa; Chordata; Mammalia; Primates; Hominidae. The record is from RNAcentral.